CUCAGCAGUACUGCAGCUCUGCUGUCCCUGCAGAGUGAAAUGCUCUGAGAAGUGGAAGUUUUGUUCCCUGCGCUCUGCCAUCCAGGCACCGAGCUUUCAUGUCCUAAACUAUUGGUGCCAAGGGGUGAUAGCCAGAGCAGUGACGGCAACAAUUUAUGCUUUUUGGUCUGCAGCCUAAAUCUUGCAAAUCAGCACACCAUGGCAGUACUCCAGUGAUUGAUUUCUCUCUUGGGUUAAGCUGCCUGUGGGAUCUGACUGGGAGCUGGAAUCUGGGGAGCUUUCUCCAUCUCCUUAGGGAUGAAAGCUGUGGAGUGAUGCCAUGGCCAAGGAAGGCCUGGAACUGGGGCUGGGGCCGUGGUUGGUGCCUGGUGGGUGUCAGUCUGGAUUUGGACGGAGAUCAGCACAAGGUGGCAGCAUUUUAGCACAUUUGUGCUGAGCCUGAUCGGGAUGUGACUUGGGAGCUCCAAACUCUCUGGCUGUUUUGGAUAAAAAAAAGCACAGAGAAGAUGUGAGCCUGAGCAAACAGAAAGGAGUUAUAAAUUGUGGUCUCUACUUAACAGACCUGCACAAUGUAAGGGGUGACUGUGGAGCGUGCUGAACCAUUACAUGAGAACACACGAAGGAAAAUCCAGCAACUUGCCUGAUAAAGUAUUAUCAGUAGUUAAAAUCAUGUCAUUAAAAAUUAUGCAUUGUUUUCUAUAGGAGCUUUUCUAUUUACAAAUAGUUCCAACCACUGAUUACUACUGUACAUUUCAUCAUCAGAUUGAGAAGCUUCUUAUGAUGUCUCAUAGGUGCUUUUAUGGGGUUAAAGUCAUGAUUCAUCCUUUAAAAUAAAUGAAGCAGGCUGAACCCUUUAAAUAUAUCAGAAAAUAAAAAUUCUACGUUCUCAGCAGCUUUCUUCUGUGUACUUUCUAGCUUCUCAACAUGUUAUCAGAGUGGCUGCAUUGCUCUGCUAUUGAUCUCAGCAGCACCAUACAGAGGUAAAAUGUCACCUCCCUGCUGCUCCUCAUUACUGCCGUAUUUGUACCACCAA
This 1033-nucleotide long non-coding RNA is filed under the name Meleagris gallopavo (turkey). RNAcentral describes it as "lncRNA (ENSMGAG00000019101.1)". The record is from RNAcentral. Lineage: Eukaryota; Metazoa; Chordata; Aves; Galliformes; Phasianidae.